GUUAUAAUUAGAAAGUAUUCUGAAUGAAUAUGAAAAUGAAAAAUGUACAGCUAUAAGAUAAUACAUGUUUUAGUUAACAUUUUGUUUAUAGCUACAUUUAAGCAGAGACAGUGAAUGUUUUUUUAUGAACGCGAUGACAGGGCCCCCUCACAAAGUUGCUUAGGGUCCCCUGAAGGCCAUGAUUGGCUCUGGCUAUAGAGGAUGAAUAAUAAGUCAACCUUUAAACAUCCUGGGUUAAAAACCAUUACUAUAAAUUGCAGUCAAUUUGGUAUAAUUAACCACCUAUGAAAGCAUCCUUGUCAUGGUCCAGUGUGGUGAACUGUUUGCCGUUGUGACUGGUUAAGGAGUCUCCAGCAUUGCCUUGGUAGAGACCCAGACGCAGACGAUUGUAAAUGUUUUCCAGACCCAGCCAAUAUUCACCAUCUACAUUGCCAAACCCCUUCUGGAGUGAACAAGAACAGAGAAAUCGAUGACUUACUAAGACAAAUAAAAAGAAAAUAAUCAAGGCAGGAGGAAAUACAAGCAUCUAUCAUCAUCUACAUCUCCACCAUAGACACAAUUGGCCACAGUUUGGCACUCUUUCUCAACUGAUGAAAAGACGAAGGAUAGGUAGAACCAAAUCAGAUAUGUGGCCAGAUUUGCCAAUUUACUACAUAUUACAGUCAUUCAUCUCACAAAUGUGAAUAAAGAAUGUGUUUGAAAAAGUAAUUUCUCAAAUUGCA
Long non-coding RNA from Misgurnus anguillicaudatus (oriental weatherfish), 722 nucleotides. RefSeq lists it as uncharacterized. The record is from RefSeq and is a predicted model, not a curated record. Lineage: Eukaryota; Metazoa; Chordata; Actinopteri; Cypriniformes; Cobitidae.